RNAcentral lists this ribosomal RNA (301 nucleotides) under uncultured bacterium. RNAcentral's name for it is "partial 16S ribosomal RNA". It matches the Rfam family "Bacterial small subunit ribosomal RNA", at positions 509 to 807 of the family's 1533-position model. The record is from RNAcentral.
CAGUCGCCACGGUAAUACGAGGGGGGCAAGCGUUGUUCGGAAUUAUUGGGCGUAAAGGGCGCGUAGGCGGUUUGGCAAGUUUCGUGUGAAAUCUUCGGGCUCAACUCGAAGUCUGCACGGAAAACUGCCGGGCUUGAGUAUGGGAGAGGUGAGUGGAAUUUCCGGUGUAGCGGUGAAAUGCGUAGAUAUCGGAAGGAACACCUGUGGUGAAAGCGGCUCACUGGACCAUUACUGACGCUGAGGCGCGAAAGCUAGGGGAGCAAACAGGAUUAGAUACCCCUGUAGUCCCUGUCUCUUAUAC